AACCGACACAGGUAGGCGAGAAGAGAAUUCUAAGGCGCGCGGAAGAACUCUCGUUAAGGAACUCGGCAAAAUGACCCCGUAACUUCGGGAGAAGGGGUGCCCCGGUAGUGUGUAUAGCACGAGGGGGCCGCAGUGAAAAGGCCCAAGCGACUGUUUAGCAAAAACACAGGUCUGUGCGAAGCCGUAAGGCGAAGUAUAGGGGCUGACGCCUGCCCGGUGCUGGAAGGUUAAGGGGAGCGGUUAGGAGCAAUCCGAAGCUGUGAACCGAAGCCCCAGUAAACGGCGGCCGUAACUAUAACGGUCCUAAG
This 308-nucleotide ribosomal RNA is filed under the name Bacillus coniferum. RNAcentral's name for it is "bacterial LSU rRNA". It matches the Rfam family "Bacterial large subunit ribosomal RNA", at positions 1652 to 1955 of the family's 2925-position model. The record is from RNAcentral. Lineage: Bacteria; Bacillati; Bacillota; Bacilli; Caryophanales; Bacillaceae.